Long non-coding RNA from Drosophila persimilis, 762 nucleotides. RefSeq lists it as uncharacterized. The transcript is spliced from 4 exons. The record is from RefSeq and is a predicted model, not a curated record. Lineage: Eukaryota; Metazoa; Arthropoda; Insecta; Diptera; Drosophilidae.
AAUCAAAAGAAUUCAGUCUUGUCGAUAAGUUCCCUCGGAAAACAUAGUAUCAAACGUACGGAACGUUUAAGUGAAACUGCAAGUGAAGUGAAAACUCAAUGUCGGUCUGCGGAUUGUUCGGUCUCCCGCCCCGGACCCGGGGUCCUCAAGACACCUGUCCUCAUCAGUUCCGCAUCAAAAUGGUUAACACUUCUUUAAUUUUUCUGUUUCCUGUAAAGAUGUUCUUUUGGAUUGAUUUUUCGGAGAGAUUUUAGAGAUGUUUGGGGGUUACACAUACAAUAUACUCAUCACAGACUCGACUCUUGUCUUCAAUUUCUUCGCUGAUAUCCAACGGUCUACGAAACAGUAAGGACGAUCACCUACACUUCUAUAAAUACUGCAUAUGUACCUACAUAUACUCAUCAGAUGGACAUGUCUAUAGUCUACCAAAUGCAAGAUUUCUUGUGUGAAAACACGUGGGUUCUAGAACUGGAAUAAAACACAAUUGCGGACUAUUUUUUCGAAACUGAAUGCUGGAUACGGUAUACUGGAUAGCAGACUCUAGAAGACAUACACAAUGGUCGGACAAAAUCGAUGAGGACUCGGAAAUGUACUUGGACCAUUCUUUGACACCUAUUUUGCUUUGAAAUAUGGAGUAGGUCCACUGGCGCUACCACAAUAAAAAAAUUAGUAUCGGGUAUAAAAAGCGCCUAGAACUCUACCUCUAUCGUGGUGUGGAUACGCUGUCAGACAUAUCCAUAUAUAAAAGUAAAUUAAACCAAA